Calypte anna (Anna's hummingbird) is the source of this 674-nucleotide RNA transcript. RefSeq lists it as uncharacterized. The transcript has 5 exons. The record is from RefSeq and is a predicted model, not a curated record. Lineage: Eukaryota; Metazoa; Chordata; Aves; Apodiformes; Trochilidae.
GGCUGGGAACUGGGCUAGCGGCCACCCAGGUCCCGCCAGGGAUCGGGAGCAGAGGGCGGAGCUCCUCCCUCUCUGCUCGGCGCUCGGCUGUGCCGCCUGCCCCGGCUCGGUGCUCGGUGCUCGGCGGGGUGGCCUGGGUUGGCGCGGUGCGGUGCGGCCUGACAGCGGAGCGGGACCGGAACCGGAGCAGAACCGGAGCGGAGCGUCGGGAUGGUGAAGCUGACGGCGGAGCUGAUCGAGCAGGCAGCACAAUACACCAACGCCGUUCGCGACCGAGAACUCGACCUGCGAGGCUAUAAAAUUCCCAGUUUAUUGAGAACCUGGGUGCCCACGCUAGACCAGUUUGAUGCAAUUGAUUUCUCUGACAAAUGAGAUCCGUAAGCCUGGAUGGGUUUCCCUCUGCUGAGGAGGCUUGAAAACUCUUCUGAUGAAUAAACAACAGGAUUUGUCGGAUUGGUGAGGAGCCUGGAACAGGCUCUGCCCAGCCUGACAGAGCUCGUCCUCACCAACAACAACAUUGCUGAACUGGGUGAACUGGAUCCGCUGGCAAACGAUUAAAUCACUGACUUACCUGAGCAUUUAAGGAAUCCUGUAACAAUAAGAAGCAUUACAGAUUAUAUGUAAUCCACAAAGUUCCCAGGUCAGAGUGCUGGAUUUUCAAAAAGUGAAACCUC